CCCUUAGAUGUUCUGGGCCGCACACGUGCUACACUGAGUGGAUCAGCGGGUCAGGUUGCGCGAAAGUGUUUCCUAAUCUUGAAAUCCGCUCGUGAUGGGGAUUGACGGUUGCAAUUUUCUGUCAUGAACGAGGAAUACCUUGUAAGCGCGGGUCAUCAUCCCGCGCUGAAUACGUCCCUGCCCUUUGUACACACCGCCCGUCGCUCCUACCGAUUGAGUGGUCCGGUGAGGCUUUGGGAUCUGGAUGGAAAGAGCGUUUCGCUGUUUCUGCCCGGAAAACUCAGUCGAACCUUAUCAUUUAGAGGAAGGAGAAGUCGUAACA
RNAcentral lists this ribosomal RNA (322 nucleotides) under uncultured eukaryote. Its description in RNAcentral is "partial 18S ribosomal RNA". It matches the Rfam family "Eukaryotic small subunit ribosomal RNA", at positions 1470 to 1796 of the family's 1831-position model. The record is from RNAcentral.